UACAGUAUAUUCAUGCCUGCCUGCUUUCUGAGGAUUUGUGUUUGUCCUCAAAUAGACUGUAGACUCAGUUGUGUUCUGUCUGUAUGUGUCUUCAGCACACAGGAGUACAGUGAUGGCACACAUGUGGCUGUUAUACCAACUCUAACCUGUGUUUUAGCUCUAUCUGAGUGAGGAGGAGGAGUUCUAGUGGAGAACAGGGGUCCGUUUGACAAAACAGGUUCAACAAACUCUGUGUAACCCUGAACUCUGAGUUUUCGGUUCCAGAACGGCUGAUUUGAGUUGGUUUAAUCAACUCGGAGUAGUUUCACCCGGAGUUAAGCGUGUGCACCACAACUCUGAAAAGCCAGUAUCAAUGGAGCCACGAUUCGACGAGUCACCAUAGCAACGGGGAAGCGGAGGACUACGUUUUUCAACCCAUUUGAAUUGGAAAUCUUAAUGUGCUCAUAUAGCAACUUUGAACACGUUUUUAGAAGUGCAACACCGCUGCAGCUGCAAAAGAGAGGGAGACGGCGUGGGAGAACAUUGCUGCCCGGCUCAAUGCGUGCAAUCCCGCGGGGAAGAAGCGCAUGUGGCAGCAGCUUAAGAUGAAAUAUAAAACAUUGUUCAAACAGUAUCACUCAUCUAGGAUGAAGUGUCUGCUGCCAUUACAGAGGGGGAUCCAAAAAGGCAUAUAGAGAGCAUGGUUGGGCAGCAGCAGGAUGGUCCCUCAACUUUCACUGCACAGAUUGACACAGUGAGAUGGAUGUUCAGUAAACACAAGAGGUUCAGUCCAUGGAAUUCAUGUGCAACUGUAUAAUUUAAUGUCCUCUAUGUAUUCCCAGUUAUCAGUAAAACAGAUUUACAAAAUGCACUUGCUGAAAAAUUCCAGAAAAUAGAUAAAGAAAUGCAAUACUUGGACCACCAGAUUAGGAGGGCAGAUCUGGAAAUUGAAAUACUGGAGCACAAGUUAGAGGUGGGUGCAUGGUCACAGGUGAAUUAUGUUAACUAUUGGAACAUUAACUAAACUAGCUCUUUUAUUUGUAGGAAAU
This is a long non-coding RNA of Amphiprion ocellaris (clown anemonefish), 1028 nucleotides long. RefSeq lists it as uncharacterized. The record is from RefSeq and is a predicted model, not a curated record. Lineage: Eukaryota; Metazoa; Chordata; Actinopteri; Pomacentridae. The transcript has 4 exons.